GGUCCCAUCGUCUAGCGGUUAGGACGCUGGCCUCUCACGCCGGAAACCGGGGUUCAAACCCCCGUGGGACUACCA
This 75-nucleotide transfer RNA is filed under the name Smithella sp. PtaU1.Bin162. RNAcentral describes it as "tRNA-Glu". It matches the Rfam family "tRNA". Rfam says of the family: Transfer RNA (tRNA) molecules are approximately 80 nucleotides in length. Their secondary structure includes four short double-helical elements and three loops (D, anti-codon, and T loops). Further hydrogen bonds mediate the characteristic L-shaped molecular structure. tRNAs have two regions of fundamental functional importance: the anti-codon, which is responsible for specific mRNA codon recognition, and the 3' end, to which the tRNAs corresponding amino acid is attached (by aminoacyl-tRNA synthetases). tRNAs cope with the degeneracy of the genetic code in two manners: having more than one tRNA (with a specific anti-codon) for a particular amino acid; and 'wobble' base-pairing, i.e. permitting non-standard base-pairing at the 3rd anti-codon position. Lineage: Bacteria; Pseudomonadati; Thermodesulfobacteriota; Syntrophia; Syntrophales; Smithellaceae. The record is from RNAcentral.